AUGGAAAAGGUGCCUUUCACAAAAAGGGCUCUGAAAAAUUUGUGUGGUAAAAUCAGCAGAGAGCAGGUAGAGGAUGAUGUGAGGAAAACGAUGGAGGUUUUUGCAGAUCUGGGUUCAAGAGAUCCACACUUCACGUAUCGUGUCCAGGCGGACCAGGAUGGGCGGAUAACGACUCUUAUGUGGGCAAAUGGGAGUAGCAGGCUGCAGUACACAUUCUUCGAAGAUGUUGUUACCUUCGAUACGACAUAUAGAACAAACCUAUACAACAUGCCAUUUGGUCUGUUUGUAGGUGUGAUAAUCAUUUCCAGUGCAUCAUCCUAUCUGGGGUUUUGGUCCGUAGUGAGAAGAUUGAGACAUUUGAGUGGGUUUUCACAGAAUUUGUUAGGAUGA
RNAcentral lists this ribosomal RNA (390 nucleotides) under Triticum aestivum (bread wheat). RNAcentral's name for it is "partial small subunit ribosomal RNA". The record is from RNAcentral. Lineage: Eukaryota; Viridiplantae; Streptophyta; Magnoliopsida; Poales; Poaceae.